CAAAAGCGUAUAUUAAAGUUGUUGCAGUUAAAAAGCUCGUAGUUGAACCUUGGGCUUGGCUGGCCGGUCCAUCUUUUUUGAUGCGUACUGGACCCAGCCGAGCCUUUCCUUCUGGCUAGCCUUUUGGCGAACCAGGGCUUUUACUUUGAAAAAAUUAGAGUGUUCAAAGCAGGCCUUUGCUCGAAUAUAUUAGCAUGGAAUAAUAGAAUAGGACGUUAUGGUUCUAUUUUGUUGGUUUCUAGGACCAUCGUAAUGAUUAAUAGGGACGGUCGGGGGUAUCAGUAUUCAGUUGUCAGAGGUGAAAUUCUUGGAUUUACUGAAGACUAACUACUGCGAAAGCAUUUACCAAGGACGUUUUCAUUAA
RNAcentral lists this ribosomal RNA (364 nucleotides) under uncultured eukaryote. Its description in RNAcentral is "partial 18S ribosomal RNA". It matches the Rfam family "Eukaryotic small subunit ribosomal RNA", at positions 592 to 976 of the family's 1831-position model. The record is from RNAcentral.